RNAcentral lists this long non-coding RNA (1053 nucleotides) under Marmota monax (woodchuck). Lineage: Eukaryota; Metazoa; Chordata; Mammalia; Rodentia; Sciuridae. The record is from RNAcentral.
AUAAGUAAUUCUAAAGAAAACACAAUCCUCAAAAAAGAAAAAGAAAACACAAUCCUCAAUUAUUUUUUUUUUCCUGGUGCUGGGAAUCAAACCCAGGGUCUCCAUAUAUAAGGCAAGGACUCUACUGCUGAGCCACACCAGAUAACAUAUUCCAGGGAAACCCCAAAUUACAGCAAAAAGGGGAUUCUUUUUGCCAUAAGAAUUAGUAUAAUUAAUUAUAUAUAAUUUAUUAAUUAUAAAUAAUAAUAAAUAAUAUAUUAACUGCUGGGCAGUGGUGCACACCAGUGAUCCCAGCUACUUGGGACGUUGAGGCAGGAAGAUGGACGUUUCAGGCCAGCCAGGUCAACUUAGGAGACUGUGCCUCAAAAUAAAAUGUUAAAAAAGGGUUGGGAGCCAGGCGCAGUGGUGCAUGACUGUCAUCCCAGCCACUUGGGGGCUGGAGGAUCAUGAGUUCAAAGCCAGCCUCAGCAAAAGCAAGGCGCUAAGCAACUCUGUGUGACCCUGUCUCAAAAUAAAAUACAAAAAUAAGGCUGGGGAUGUGACUCAGUGGUCAAGUAUCCCUAAAUUCAGUCCUCUGUACGAAAAAAAAAAAAAAUGGGGGAGGGCUGGGGAUAUAACUCUGUGGUUAGAGCACUUGUCUAGCAUGUGUAGGGCCCUGGGUUCCAUCCCCAAUAUAGAAGAAAGAAUAUAUAUAUAAUAUGUUUGUGUAUGGACAUAUACACAGACACAUAUAUAUUUGUUUGGUUUGUUUUGUUUUUGAUACCAGGGAUGGAUUGAACUCAGGGGCACUUAACCACUGAGUCACAUCCCCAGCCCUUUUAUUUUUUAUUUUGAGACAUGGUCUCAGUUAAGUUGCUGAGGACCUCACUAAAAUGCUGAGGCUGGCCUCAAACUUGGCAAUCCUCCUGCCUCAGCCUCCUCAGUCACUGAGAUUACAGGCAGGAGUGCACCCAGGGCCCAAUAACCCUAAGCUAUUUUAAUCACACAAUAAAAUGUUGGGGGCUGAGGGUGUAGCUCAGUGGUAGAGCACAUGCCUACCAUGAGUGAGUCUCU